RNAcentral lists this long non-coding RNA (2754 nucleotides) under Mytilus galloprovincialis (Mediterranean mussel). The record is from RNAcentral. Lineage: Eukaryota; Metazoa; Mollusca; Bivalvia; Mytilida; Mytilidae.
CUUUUCCAGGUCAGUUAUCUGUAUUGAAUGGCUGGAGAAUACAAACCUAGUACAAAUGUAUAUAGGGGAACGAAGAGGCCUCACAUAUAACUGACUGUCAUUGGGUAAUUUUAUUAUUAAUAAAAAAUUGAGAAUGGAAAUGGGGAAUGUGUCAAAGAGACAACAACCUGACCAAAGAGCAGAAAACAGCCAAAGACCACCAAUGGAUCUACAAAACACUGAGAAAAUCACGCACACAGAGGCAUGCUUCAGCUGCCACCUUAACAAAAAUGUGUACUACUCCUGGUAACAUGGGGUCAAGGUGAUAAUGAAUGUUAUACUAGACUCCGAAAUAUAUAAAUGAACUAAAAUUAAAUAAUCAUAACAAGACUAACAAAGGCCAGAGGCUCCUGACUUGGGACAUGCGAAAAAAUGUGUAGGGGUUAAACAUGUUUUGCAAGAUCUCAACCUAUCCAGCUAGCCAUUGUAGAAAAACAAAAACAAUAGGCACAUUAAAUCUCAGUUUAAAGAAGUCAUAUUUAGUCCUAUGUCAGAAUAGGAAACAAACCAAACUAAGCAAAAUGACGAUGAAAAAAUUUACAAAGGACUACUAGCAGUUACUGACAUGUUCCUCGGACAUAUGUGAACUUAACUUUAAAUGUCAUACACUAUAUGCAUGAUAUGUUUUAUCACUUUUUGACUUUUUUUUUUUUAGCAUAUGAAAUAUAUCUUGAAAGUAUUGAGCCAAGGUGUUUUUUUACGAAUAUUCUUUUUGGUACCCUAAUACCGGUACGGACAUGAAUUACCAAUAAGAAAAAUAAUUUCUUUGGUUUUAUUCCGAUACAGAUACAUGAAGUCAGACUAAAUGUUUUUGAACCUUGCAUAUCUACUUGAACUUGUUUCUUAGUUUUGCAAAAUUACUUUAUUCAGUAAAAUUUCUAAACAAAUGUAUAGUUUUGUAGACAUUGGCCUCACACAAAUUGCAUUUUAUUAAACUUGAGCUAAUUAUAUUUCAGCAAAAGGCUUUGCAGCCAUACAAAACAUGUAUUUCAUCUUGGAAGAAAAAGAACAACAGUCCUGAUGAUGGUGACAGGUCAAAUUAAUCUACCAGGUAACACAUACACAACAUAUUGUUUUAAGGCUUUUCCAUUUAAACAUACAUGCAUGCAUAUUGGGACCAGGGAAGACACUUAGAGAUCCAAAGUUAUAAUGUUGGGGUGGGGUUAAUUGCAAUGAAAAUGUUAGUGAAAUUCUCAAUUGGCUUCUAUCAGUUGAUUAUUGAUUAAGUAUAAAUUUAACUUUAUUAGCUAUAGUUGAAAAAUCUACUUUUUUCAUCUGUUAUAUUUAUCCUUCCAUGGAUGGGCACUUGUUGUUUAACUUACAUACAUUAUUGUUAUGUUAGUUUAGUAAUGUUAUGUUAGUUUAGUAAAAUAUAAUAAUGGAUUAAACCCAGAUUUUAGUUAAAUAUAGCCUCCUUUUGUUGUGCUUGAUAUCCUGAAUUUUUUUUAUAUAUAUUAAGAAGUAAAGUUAACACUUAUAGAUAUUCUCCAUCAAACACUUAUAGAUAUUCUCCAUCAAAUAUAAUAUUUUUUUACAACCAGUAUAUAUUUUAAAUGGAACGUCAGAAAGCGAGAGUAAAAAAAAAACAAUUCACAAAAACAGAAAAAUUGAAACAAAUGCAUGACAUAGAUGUGUUGAAAAACAAAAGGAAUGUUUCUCUGUUUAAGAGUUAUUGUAUGGACUACAAACACAAUACAACCCUCUUAAAACCCAGGUUAUAUCAGGUGUUAAGAGUGAGCAUACACUGCUUGUAUAUGAUUUAUAGUUCAUAACAGUCUGUCAUUCUGUACCUCUGUCAAAUUAGCCAUACUUGGUAUAGAAUAAAGAUUAUUUGUACACAAUGAUUUUCAAUGUAAAGUUUCACAUAGGAAAAUAACUUUGUAUAAUUUUCAUAUUUCUGUUUCCUGUAAACUAGUAACGAUUACCAGUAUAGUUGUAUAGUUCUGAGCAUUUUGUCAAACAUAUAAACUUGUAAUAAUAUUCCCUGAACAUUUUGGUACAGGAUUGUGGGUAAAACUCUUAAAAUAUAAAUAUUUCUGUAACAAUUGUACAUGUAAUAACAAUUAGCCACUUCAUGAUAUCCAUUACCAAAAAAUGUUGUAUAGUCUGAUUAUAACCACAGAAUUUACUUUGCUUUUCAGAUACUAGUGAAGAAAUAAAGAAACAAGAGUAGACACCAUUUGACCAACUGUGCUUACAAUACUUGUGCAAUAGUUGUAAUUGAUGUCCAUACUACAUUGUAGUGUCAUACAUGUAUGAUAAUACAUUACAGCAUCCAUAGAAUUAUCAUCUUGGUCGUCAAUGCCUCUCAUUUCUUAAUAAAUUGCAUUUGUUAUUUUGGUUGUAUGAUUUUCUAAAAAGACUUUUUUGUUAUUAAUGGAGUAGAAUGUUGAAAAAACAAAUGACAAAGAUCAUUGCUGAAUGAAGUACAAGUAUUUUUUUAAAGUUUAAAUAGACAAUUGGUAUGGUGUUUGAGUGAUUUAAAAUAGAUAUUUCUUAUUUGUUUCCAGUACAUUAAUAAGCACUUUAUCACACAAUCAGUGGCAGAUCCAGAAAUUUUCAUAAGUUGGGGCCCACUGACUGCCUAAGAGGGGGUCCGGCCCACUCCAGUCAUGCUUCAGUGAUUCCCUAUAUAAUCAACCAAAUUUCUUUCCAAAAAAGGGGAAGCCAGGGGCCCCUGGCCCCCUCUAAAUCCGCCUCUGACAAUACCAUGAA